Molecule: long non-coding RNA, 1467 nt
Organism: Zingiber officinale
Lineage: Eukaryota; Viridiplantae; Streptophyta; Magnoliopsida; Zingiberales; Zingiberaceae
Exons: 2
Source: RefSeq, a predicted model, not a curated record
CAUGAAACACUGCAAGAAUGAGUCAUCCAUUCCUACGUGGAAUGAAAAAAAUGUAUUUUCCAUUCCUCUCUGUCCACCUCAACUUUGACUAAAACCCUAAACUGUGUCAGUUUCCCCCCGAUCUCUCUUCCACAGAAGCUGUCCACCCAUCUCCUCCGAUUUCUCUUCUGCGCCGUACUCUCCUCCGAGUGAUCUUCCUGCGCCUCUCCUCCUUUUUCUCUACUGCGCCGACCUCUCCUCCGAGAAGCUUCGCCUCUCCUUUUUCUCUUCUGCACCGCACUCUCCUCUGAGAGAUCUUCCACACAGAAGCUUCGCCUCCUCUCCUUUUUCUCUUCUGCGCCGCCCUCUCCUCCUUUUUCUCUUCUGCGCCGCCCUCUCCUCCUUUUUCUCUUCUGCGCCGCAUUCUCCUUUGAGAGAUCUUCCACGCAGAAGCUGUGCACAAGGCAGAGAUCCACCACCAUCGAAGCUCCUCCAUCGCCGAGUGAACCCUAAAGGCGCACCACCAGCGAAGCCGCGAAGCUCCUCCACGGCCUAAGCCCUAAAGCUCUUCCACCGCCUAAGCCCUAAAGCUCCUCCACCAGCGAACCGUGCCUUUGUACGGGUUUGUUUUUUCUCACUUGACAUUAAGUUCUUCUCAAGACUGUUCUUCUUGAACAAAUGCAAUUAUAAUUCUGUUUGCCCUAUUAUAAUUCUUGUAGCAUCUCAUUGAUCAAACUUGAGACAUGUCCUAUUAUUAACCAAUUUUGUUUGGUUCCCAGAAGUGGAACCAAUUAGGAUAUUGAAAAUCAUGUUUAGGAUAUUUUAAAUUUCCAACAUUUUAUACAUUGGAGAUCUCUUAUACUAUGUGUGGCCUCCUAAGUAUUAGUAUAACUUUAACAUCAAUUACCUAAAUUAUAGUAGUUGAGCAAGGAUAUGAAAGAGUAGAUGGUUUUUGUUCUUUUGAUAUGAAAAAGAUUACAGGACAAAGGAACAAAUAUUCAUGGCAGCCGGUUCGAUAUCAUCAUCAUCUUUCACUCGAAGACGCAUGAAUGAUGAACAAGAUGAAACACCUCAUAUAUUAUGCUAUUGUGGGUUAAGAGCUACUCUUUGGACUUCAUGGAAGGAAACCAACCCAGGAAAGGGGAUGUGGCUUCUUCUUAUGGCAUGAUCCAGAAUUGUCAGAGAGAGCUAAGGGAAUUAUUAAUGAUCUAAAGAGGGAUAACAAAAAAUUACAAAUGGAGAUUAGUGAAUUGAAGAAAUCUAAUAUGUACAUCGAAAGUGCAGUUGAUUGCAAUGUUCUCCUAGAGCCUGUGAACAACUCUGUUACUAUGAAGUUGAGUGAUGAAAUAUGUUCAUUUAAUAGAAAGUUUAGAGUUGUUAUCGUUGUAUUUGUAUUUACUUGGAUUGUGAUGAUUUGGAAGUGGUUGGUGUAAUUUGCUAUAAGCAAAUAACUGUUGUAGUAAUGAAAGAUGUUUUUUGGUUUUUUAA